RNAcentral lists this ribosomal RNA (492 nucleotides) under uncultured bacterium. Its description in RNAcentral is "partial 16S ribosomal RNA". It matches the Rfam family "Bacterial small subunit ribosomal RNA", at positions 29 to 507 of the family's 1533-position model. The record is from RNAcentral.
AGUGAACGCUGGCGGUAGGCCUAACACAUGCAAGUCGAACGGCAGCACAGUAAGAGCUUGCUCUUACGGGUGGCGAGUGGCGGACGGGUGAGGAAUACAUCGGAAUCUACUUUUUCGUGGGGGAUAACGUAGGGAAACUUACGCUAAUACCGCAUACGACCUACGGGUGAAAGCAGGGGAUCUUCGGACCUUGCGCGAUUGAAUGAGCCGAUGUCGGAUUAGCUAGUUGGCGGGGUAAAGGCCCACCAAGGCGACGAUCCGUAGCUGGUCUGAGAGGAUGAUCAGCCACACUGGAACUGAGACACGGUCCAGACUCCUACGGGAGGCAGCAGUGGGGAAUAUUGGGCAAUGGGCGGAAGGCUGAUCCAGCCAUACCGCGUGGGUGAAGAAGGCCUUCGGGUUGUAAAACCCUUUUGUUGGGGAAGAAAAACAGCAGGUUAAAACCCCGCCGUUCUGACGGUACCCAAAGAAUAAGCACCGGCUAACUUCGUG